CCUACGGGUGGCAGCAGUGGGGAAUAUUGGACAAUGGGGGCAACCCUGAUCCAGCCAUGCCGCGUGUGUGAAGAAGGCCCUCGGGUUGUAAAGCACUUUCAGUGAGGAAGAACGCCUGGUGGUUAAUACCCAUCAGGAAAGACAUCACUCACAGAAGAAGCACCGGCUAACUCCGUGCCAGCAGCCGCGGUAAUACGGAGGGUGCGAGCGUUAAUCGGAAUUACUGGGCGUAAAGCGCGCGUAGGUGGCUUGAUAAGCCGGUUGUGAAAGCCCCGGGCUCAACCUGGGAACGGCAUCCGGAACUGUCAAGCUAGAGUGCAGGAGAGGAAGGUAGAAUUCCCGGUGUAGCGGUGAAAUGCGUAGAGCUCGGGAGGAAGACCAGUGGCGAAGGCGGCCUUCUGGACUGACACUGCCACUGAGGUGCGAAAGCGUGGGUAGCAAACAGGAUUAGAUACCCGAGUAGUC
This 465-nucleotide ribosomal RNA is filed under the name Vreelandella stevensii. RNAcentral describes it as "partial 16S ribosomal RNA". It matches the Rfam family "Bacterial small subunit ribosomal RNA", at positions 338 to 795 of the family's 1533-position model. Lineage: Bacteria; Pseudomonadati; Pseudomonadota; Gammaproteobacteria; Oceanospirillales; Halomonadaceae. The record is from RNAcentral.